Molecule: ribosomal RNA, 253 nt
Filed under: uncultured bacterium
Lineage: Bacteria
Description: partial 16S ribosomal RNA
Rfam family: Bacterial small subunit ribosomal RNA
Source: RNAcentral
UACGAAGGGUGCUAGCGUUGCUCGGAAUCACUGGGCGUAAAGGGUGCGUAGGCGGCCCUUUAAGUCAGGGGUGAAAUCCUGGAGCUCAACUCCAGAACCGCCUUUGAUACUGAAGAUCUUGAGUUCGGGAGAGGUGAGUGGAACUGCGAGUGUAGAGGUGAAAUUCGUAGAUAUUCGCAAGAACACCAGUGGCGAAGGCGGCUCACUGGCCCGAUACUGACGCUGAGGCACGAAAGCGUGGGGAGCAAACAGG